AUAGACCUGGGGCCAGUGACGCCUCCUGCAAAUCGGCAGUGUGCGUGUGCUCUCCUCCCACUCGCUCUUCCGGUCUUCCCCUGCUUCUGAAAAUUUCGAGGAACAGCUGACUGAACAUCUGGUAGCCGUUCACCGGGGAAAGCCCUUCAAUCAUGGUUGAGAGCGACGCUGCCAAGAUCAAACCACGACCAAUCGUGCGCAUAGGGAUCUUCCUCGUCUCUCACAGCCUCCUCGUUUGUGUCGUUUGCUGCACUGCUGGGGUUCUAGCUCUCUUGCUACUUCCCGUUCUUGCCAAGAACACUUACAUUUCCGAAAAUGCGCUCAUGCCAGGUUCUGCGAAUACUAUGCUUUCUUUCGAAGACAUUACGGAGGCAAAUAGAUUGUUGAAGGAAAUAACCAGUGCUGAUAUGAGGUCUACCAAUUCCAGCAUAGAAAUUUCAAGAUUGAUAGCACAGCAUAUGGCAGAUUUGGGUGCUGAAGUUAGUCAUCACAAGUUUUACCCUCAAUCAGAUCAGUUUCAUCUGCUGCAUUUCUUUUCUGGCCUCGAUUAUGGGACAAUGCAAGAAAAAUUUAGUUGUUCAUCCUUUGGUCUCAAUACAGUGGGAAUAAUAAGAGCUCCACGGGGUGAUGGGAAAGAAGCUAUUGUCCUGGUGACACCCUAUAAUUCUGCGAAGAUUGAUCCAGUUGAAGCUUUAUCAUUGGGCAUUGCAUUUUCUGUAUUCUCAUUACUUGCUCGAGUUUCUUGGCUAGCCAAGGAUAUUAUAUGGCUUGCUGCAGAUUCACAGUUUGGAGAGUAUAUGUCGGUUGCUGCUUGGCUAAGAGAUUAUCACACACCUGUACUUGGUGGUUUGGGGAAAUUAAAUGCUGAAUUGUCUGAUGAAAGCAAUACUCUAUAUGAGCUGAAAGAAAAUAAAAUUACUGAUGAUUUUAAGCGUGCUGGGACAAUGGCUGCUGCCCUCGUAAUUAAGGUUGUGAAUAGAGAUGGACAAGGAGAAGACACCCUUAGAAUAUAUGCCGAGGCAUCUAACGGACAGAUGCCAAACCUAGAUCUCAUCAAUGUUGUGAACUUUUUAGCUGUACAUAGGCAAGGUUUGCAUGUUAAGGUGGAGAAAGUGUUGUCCUUCAUUGAAUCAAAAUGGGUCAAGAUUGUGGGUGAAAUAUUUGAGUUGCUAGGAAAAGUCGCCAGUACCUUAAAUCCACAAUGGAAAUUUGGCAUCCCUGUUGCAGACUAUGUUCAAGGCUCAGCCACGCUGGCAAGUUCAUUGUAUUUCCAGGCAUUGGGUGUUCCCACUGGUCCCCAUGGUGCUUUUCGUGAUUACCAAGUUGAUGCAAUCACUUUGGAGGUUUCAUCCGUGGCCUCUCUGAAUAACAAAGCCAGGAAAAAUGAAUUUCUUCUGCGAGGUGGCCGGUUAAUUGAAGGAGUCAUCCGAUCAGUAAACAACCUCCUUGAAAAAUUUCAUCAGUCUUUUUUCUUGUACCUUUUGACAUCUCCUAGUAAGUUUGUGUCAGUUGGAGUCUACAUGAUUGCUUUUGCACUUCUUGUUGCACCCCUACCAAUGGUUGCAGCAUCUCUCUAUGCUGAUUUUAAAAAAGAUAACGCUGCUCCUCGCACAGCCUUUGCUGAUGGUGAUCAUGGCGUCACUGUUAAUUCAUGGAAGUGGCUUCCUGCUGCAAAACAAGUGUUUGUUGUACACUUAUGGGGUGCCAUCGUUUCAUUCCUUCCGUAUUUCAUCUGUCAAAUGCCCAAUUGUACCCCCAAAACUAAUGUCAUAACAUGGGUUUUGCUUUCGAUGAUCAACCUCUUCAUCUUGUACUUGAUUUUGGGCUCUCCAUUUUCACGUGACACUGCAUUUCAAGCUCAAAAAAGAGAAUGGGCUUUCCUGAAAUCAGUUAUGAUUUCUGCUGCCUUCAUCGGUUUGGGUCUCAUGUCUGUCAUCAACUUUGCCACUGCAGAACUUGGGGCUUUGUUGAUGGUGCCAAUGUGCUUGAUUGCUCACCCCUUGAGGCUUGACAUUAGAGCUGGAAACUUGAGAUCAUUCAUCAGAGUCGCUUGUAACCUGAUACUGGGAUUCAUUGGGUUUCCCCCAGCUGCUUUCUUUGUUUUCAAAGGUAUAUUCGAAGGUUCUGGCAAUGUGAAUAUUGGUGAGUUCUGGACUUGGGUUGAAUCCCUUUGGGCAUGGAACAGCGCCACUUACCUUUAUAUAGGCAUGGUUCACUUGCCAUGCUGGGCAUUAUGCAUUCACAUAUUAUUCCAUCCAUGAUGACAGCCACGGAAGUUUUACCGCGUUAUUGUAUAUCAUAGACAGGCAGUGCAGAACAUGGAGGCCGAAGCAAAUGCACUAAUACUAUUCAUUCCCAGAGAAGAAGGAGCACGAGGCCAUUGAUCAUUAGGCGAUAAGAAGAGAAUUGAAUAGUUGCCUAGCGAGAGAGGAUUCUUGUUAGAGAGGCGAACCCCACCUUUGAGGGAGAGAGGUUGUAACUUCAACUAAUAACAAAGUUGGUGAAGGAAAUCCUCAUAGCGAGUUGCUUGGGGUAAGGACAUAGGCUGCGGCCAAACCUUGUAAAAACAACGGUGUUCAACUUCUUCUUCCUUACUCUCUUUAUUUUCUGCAAGAUAUAACCUAUGUUCGUGGAUAUAUUUUCUUUAUCAUCUUGCCAAAUAUUGAAUAGUGCUGAAUAUCGAAUCGUAGUAAAUAUUGAAUCUUGUUGAAAA
This is an RNA transcript of Malania oleifera, 2713 nucleotides long. RefSeq lists it as uncharacterized. NCBI's taxonomy places the organism in Eukaryota, Viridiplantae, Streptophyta, Magnoliopsida, Santalales, Ximeniaceae. The transcript is spliced from 8 exons. The record is from RefSeq and is a predicted model, not a curated record.